This 532-nucleotide long non-coding RNA is filed under the name Mus pahari (shrew mouse). RNAcentral describes it as "lncRNA (MGP_PahariEiJ_G0002504.1)". Lineage: Eukaryota; Metazoa; Chordata; Mammalia; Rodentia; Muridae. The record is from RNAcentral.
AUAAGUUUGGGAGGUCCUGAUGCCAACACUCCUGGCUACCUUCAGAUCAAGAUGUAGACUUGUCAGUUCCUUCUCCAAUACCACGUCUGCCUGCAAAAGUAACAGAAAGACCAGACAUGAGAUGGAGUUAUCCUACUACAGAAGUAGCAUCAGGUCAGAGUUGCUGACCUGGAGGCCAUGAGGUCCCAGAGGUAUAGCCACAAGACUCCUUUAAUUUUUUCCUAAACUGUAAGACUUAUAAAGUCUAGGUUCCCUCCUCUCCGAAGACUCUAACUUGUGUUAAGCUGAUAUAAAACUAGCCAGCACAACUAAGAAAGAAGAUACAAUUGGUCUAAACAUUCAACCCAGAAAGCUGGAGAAAGGUCAGAAGUUCUCUUUCCAGCCGGACCCUGGCCUUAUGUCAGGGAAGGAGUGCUGCAGAGGUUUGUAAACAGUAGGAUAUGACAUUUAGUAAACAGUAUGUAAGCAGUAGAAUAUGAAACUGAUGUAUUUGGAGAAAAAUAAGGUACUCCCUAUUAAAAUUUUAAAUAGC